UGAAUUUUGUGCAUAAAUUGCCGUUGCAAACUUGUUAUUUCGCACAGAACAUUUUAUGCUAGGUUCUUAUGUAACGUCUCUCAGAUUGUAAUUGUACUUUAAACAGUAAUCUCAAACACACUCCAGUAAUACUCACAAACAUAUAGGGUAAUUUCAGCACAAUAACAAGACAAAUAAUUGCGACUACAAUUGAAAUUCAAAUAUAGUUAAAUUGAGACAAAGAUAGUUCUAAAUUGUCCCAUAAUUAAAGCAUUACUUCUUGUGCACCUAGCAGAAAGCAACUAGAAAUUUUCCUUAUCCAAAAUCAGUAAGCUCCAAGACAAAAUAAUUUAGCCAAUUUUUACCCGACAGUUUGGGCCGCUGCUGCAAGCCUCUUCCUAGCCUCCUCAAUGAUCGACAACUUGAUACCCUUGCCCUUGGGGAG
Molecule: unclassified non-coding RNA, 424 nt
Filed under: Hevea brasiliensis (rubber tree)
Lineage: Eukaryota; Viridiplantae; Streptophyta; Magnoliopsida; Malpighiales; Euphorbiaceae
Source: RNAcentral